Long non-coding RNA from Drosophila navojoa, 249 nucleotides. The record is from RefSeq and is a predicted model, not a curated record. NCBI's taxonomy places the organism in Eukaryota, Metazoa, Arthropoda, Insecta, Diptera, Drosophilidae.
AAAGAGGCAACUAGGAUCGUCGGCGGCACCAACAAGGACAUUGGUGCAGACCAGCAGAUUAAGCGAGGCAUGCAUAACUGAGUAAGUUCACUUAGCCGUGCGUAAGAGAAGUGUUGUGAGUGAAACGAAGCUGGCGUGUCUUAGCACAACACUCUCCCAGUCGGAGUGCGCUGAACCAGCACUCAGCAGGUGUAGCUUGCGAAAGCGACACAUCAUAUAAGUUAUACUUUAAGUAAAGUGUAAAAUUUA